GUGCUCUCUUUGGCAGCACAUAUACUAAAAUUGGAACGAUACAGAGAAGAUUAGCAUGGCCCCUGUGCAAGGAUGACAUGCAAGUUCCUGAAGCGUUCCAUAUUUAA
Otolemur garnettii (small-eared galago) is the source of this 107-nucleotide small nuclear RNA. The record is from Ensembl. NCBI's taxonomy places the organism in Eukaryota, Metazoa, Chordata, Mammalia, Primates, Galagidae.